GACGAACGCUGGCGGCGUGCUUAACACAUGCAAGUCGAACGGAAAGGCCCUGCUUUUGUGGGGUUCUCGAGUGGCGAGCGGGUGAGUAACCCGUGAGUAACCUGGCCUUGACUUUGGGAUAACUUCAGGAAACUGGGGCUAAUACAGGAUAGGAGCUCCUGCUGCAGGGGGGGGGUUGGACAGUUUCGGCGGUUGGGGCUGGACUUGGGGGUUAUCAGCUUGUUGGGUGGGUAGUGGCCUACGCAGGGUUCGACGGCUAGCCGGCAUGGGAGGGGGAACGGGCACAUGGGGACUGAGGGACGGAGCAGAGGCGAACGUGAGGCAGUGGUGGGGAAUAUUGCACAACGGGCGGAAGCCUGAUGAAGAAGCGUCGCGUGCGGGAUGACGGCCUUCGGGUGGUAAACCGCAUUAGCCUGAGACGAAGCGGGAGUGACGGUAAUGGGAAAAGAAGCACCGGCUAACUACGU
RNAcentral lists this ribosomal RNA (467 nucleotides) under uncultured bacterium. Its description in RNAcentral is "partial 16S ribosomal RNA". It matches the Rfam family "Bacterial small subunit ribosomal RNA", at positions 28 to 506 of the family's 1533-position model. The record is from RNAcentral.